GGGGGCGUACUGGUUUCGACGGGGGUUUAGAGCCUUUAGUAGCGAGCCAUGUUUAGCUUGGUGACAUGUAAAAAACUGAGCAUUAAAUAUAAACGCAAACGAUAAUUACGCACUAGCUGCCUAAUAGCGCAGCUCGUUUCUACCUAGCCUCCCGCCGUUAGGAUAGAAACGUCAUCUAUGCGGGGAACGUCUUAGGGGGUGUCUUGACCCUAAGUUGUACAAUUAAGGCUGGCCAAACCUAAAACCUGUUGCUGGGUGUUAGGCGAGGUGAGAUUCUAAAACAGUAACUGCGCUCGGAGAAGCUGAAGGUGAAGGGCCUUCGGACAGGGGUUCGAUUCCCCUCGCCUCCACCA
Molecule: transfer-messenger RNA, 353 nt
Filed under: Alkaliphilus pronyensis
Lineage: Bacteria; Bacillati; Bacillota; Clostridia; Peptostreptococcales; Natronincolaceae
Also listed under: 1 other name
Rfam family: transfer-messenger RNA
About the family: Bacterial tmRNA, also known as 10Sa RNA or SsrA, is named for its dual tRNA and mRNA-like properties. Its role is to liberate the mRNA from a stalled ribosome. To accomplish this part of the tmRNA is used as a reading frame that ends in a translation stop signal.
Source: Rfam by way of RNAcentral